CAGUAGCCGCGGGAAUACGAAGGGGGCUAGCGUUGCUCGGAAUGACUGGGCGUAAAGGGCGCGUAGGCGGCGAUCAAAGUCAGGCGUGAAAUUCCUGGGCUCAACCUGGGGGCUGCGUUUGAUACUUGAUUGCUAGAGUGGGGAAGAGGGUCGUGGAAUUCCCAGUGUAGAGGUGAAAUUCGUAGAUAUUGGGAAGAACACUGGUGGCGAAGGCGGCGACCUGGUCCUUGACUGACGCUGAGGCGCGAAAGCGUGGGGAGCAAACAGGAUUAGAGACCCCCGUAGUCCCUGUCUCUUAUAC
This 301-nucleotide ribosomal RNA is filed under the name uncultured bacterium. RNAcentral's name for it is "partial 16S ribosomal RNA". It matches the Rfam family "Bacterial small subunit ribosomal RNA", at positions 509 to 807 of the family's 1533-position model. The record is from RNAcentral.